This 248-nucleotide ribosomal RNA is filed under the name uncultured Acinetobacter sp. Its description in RNAcentral is "partial 16S ribosomal RNA". It matches the Rfam family "Bacterial small subunit ribosomal RNA", at positions 1204 to 1451 of the family's 1533-position model. The record is from RNAcentral. Lineage: Bacteria; Pseudomonadati; Pseudomonadota; Gammaproteobacteria; Moraxellales; Moraxellaceae.
ACGACCAGGGCUACACACGUGCUACAAUGGUCGGUACAAAGGGUUGCUACCUCGCGAGAGGAUGCUAAUCUCAAAAAGCCGAUCGUAGUCCGGAUUGGAGUCUGCAACUCGACUCCAUGAAGUCGGAAUCGCUAGUAAUCGCGGAUCAGAAUGCCGCGGUGAAUACGUUCCCGGGCCUUGUACACACCGCCCGUCACACCAUGGGAGUUUGUUGCUCCAGAAGUAGCUAGCCUACCUGCAAAGAGGGC